AGAGUUUGAUUCUGGCUCAGAACGAACGCUGGCGGCAGGUCUUAGGCAUGCAAGUCGAACGGAUGACAAGAGAGCUUGCUCUCUUGAAGUCAGUGGCGCACGAGUGAGUAACGCGUGGGAAACUGCCCUUCACUGGGGAAUAACGUUUGGAAACGAACGCUAAUACCGCAUACGCCCGCAAGGGGAAAGAUUUAUCGGUGAUGGAUGUGCCCGCGUUGGAUUAGCUAGUUGGUGGGGUAAUGGCCUACCAAGGCGAUGAUCCAUAGCUGGUCUGAGAGGACGAUCAGCCACGCUGGAACUGAGACACGGUCCAGACUCCUACGGGAGGCAGCAGCUAAGAAUAUUGGGCAAUGGAGGAAACUCUGACCCAGCCCAUGCCGCGUGAAUGAAGAAGGCCUUCGGGUUGUAAAGUUCUUUUAGUCAUGAAGAUGAUGACAGUAGUGACAGAAAAAGCACCGGCUAACUUCGUGCCAGCAGCGGC
Molecule: ribosomal RNA, 481 nt
Filed under: uncultured bacterium
Lineage: Bacteria
Description: bacterial SSU rRNA
Rfam family: Bacterial small subunit ribosomal RNA
Source: RNAcentral